RNAcentral lists this ribosomal RNA (253 nucleotides) under uncultured bacterium. RNAcentral describes it as "partial 16S ribosomal RNA". It matches the Rfam family "Bacterial small subunit ribosomal RNA", at positions 524 to 776 of the family's 1533-position model. The record is from RNAcentral.
UACGAAGGGUGCAAGCGUUGUCCGGAAUUAUUGGGCGUAAAGAGCUCGUAGGCGGUUUGUUGCGUCGGCUGUGAAAUCCCGAGGCUCAACCUCGGGUCUGCAGUCGAUACGAGCAAACUAGAGUGUUGCAGGGGAGACUGGAAUUCCUGGUGUAGCGGUGAAAUGCGCAGAUAUCAGGAGGAACACCGGUGGCGAAGGCGGCCUGCUGGGUUCUGGCUGACACUGAGGCGCGACAGCGUGGGGAGCAAACAGG